CCUUGAAAGUUGUUUGACUUUAUUACUGCCACUUAUGAGCAAGAACUUUCCAAUACAAACAAAUAAAAAAAAUGAUCACGCUAAUUGCCUAUGCAAAUCAAUAUUAAGUGGAAGCUUAGGUUAACAUAUCUCCUGUAGCUUCUUUUUUCUUAACAGCUCAAUAGUAUUAUUAAAUAGCUCUCAACGAAUAAUACUUGAUUCUAAUAGAAUAAAAAUUUAAACAGUUUUCUGUUACCCUGUUCUUGUUCUUCACUUAUCAUAUCAUCAUCUUUCUGUUUUAGUAACUCAAUACAUAAGCAAAAAAACAAUUUCUCCCAAUUGCUAAGAGAAGAGAUAUAAAACUAAUUAAAUGACAGAUAAAGAAAAAAAAAAACUUUAAUUUCACAUACCGUUUGAUGGUUCACGGUAUUACCUUUAGGAAUUUUG
This 426-nucleotide long non-coding RNA is filed under the name Trifolium pratense (red clover). RNAcentral describes it as "long non-coding RNA (TPRA_LNC011051)". The record is from RNAcentral. Lineage: Eukaryota; Viridiplantae; Streptophyta; Magnoliopsida; Fabales; Fabaceae.